AAUCUGUGGUGUGGGCAUUUCUGAAUCAACAUUUUAAAACUCUCUCAUGCUUCAUGAAAAAUUUCCCCUCUAAUUGUUUAAACAUCAAAAUUUCCCUUCUUAGCU
RNAcentral lists this small nucleolar RNA (105 nucleotides) under Gossypium hirsutum (cotton). RNAcentral describes it as "Plant small nucleolar RNA R71". It matches the Rfam family "Plant small nucleolar RNA R71". Rfam says of the family: R71 is a member of the C/D box family of snoRNAs containing the C (UGAUGA) and D (CUGA) box motifs. Lineage: Eukaryota; Viridiplantae; Streptophyta; Magnoliopsida; Malvales; Malvaceae. The record is from Rfam by way of RNAcentral.